GUGCCAGCAGCCGCGGUAAUACCGGCAGCCCGAGUGAUGGCCGAUAUUAUUGGGCCUAAAGCGUCCGUAGCUGGCCGCACAAGUCCGUCGGGAAAUCCACUCGCUUAACGAGUGGGCGUCCGGCGGAAACUGUGCGGCUUGGAACCGGAAGGCUCAGGGAGUACGUCCGGGGUAGGAGUGAAAUCCCGUAAUCCCGGACGGACUACCGAUGGCGAAAGCACUCUGAGAAGACGGCUUCGACAGUGAGGGACGAAAGCCAGGGUCUCCAACCGGAUUAGAAACCCUAGUAGUCC
This 293-nucleotide ribosomal RNA is filed under the name uncultured bacterium. RNAcentral describes it as "partial 16S ribosomal RNA". It matches the Rfam family "Archaeal small subunit ribosomal RNA", at positions 455 to 747 of the family's 1478-position model. The record is from RNAcentral.